UGAUAAUGGCCUUCUGUUUUGCGCACGGGA
Molecule: non-coding RNA, 30 nt
Filed under: Mus musculus (house mouse)
Lineage: Eukaryota; Metazoa; Chordata; Mammalia; Rodentia; Muridae
Source: RNAcentral